This 601-nucleotide long non-coding RNA is filed under the name Gallus gallus (chicken). RNAcentral's name for it is "long non-coding RNA NONGGAT002125". Lineage: Eukaryota; Metazoa; Chordata; Aves; Galliformes; Phasianidae. The record is from RNAcentral.
GUAGGUACCAGGAAUGUGCUGUCAUUGAAAUACAGUCCCAGUGUUUCUCAGCCUGCUCAUCCUGUGCAGUCUGUGAGAACCAGGGCACAGGGGCAAUGUAAAGUUGGAGCUGGAGAUGCCAGGGCCUGCAGCUGCCUUAGCUCAGGGUCAGCCCACAGCACACGGCUGCCUCAGGGCCCCUGGGGGCCCAGGAAGCCCCAGGUGCAAAUGUGUCUGCGUUGCACAGCUCAGACUCUGGACACACAGAGAAGCCUGUGGUCCCACAGCUCUGCAGGUGAACUAUUGGAAAUACUGAGUUUGGACUGCGGUUUAUCCAAGGUUCAUCAAGCCAGAUGACAGGUGGGAUGACUGUGUUUCUUCAAGGCCUGAGCGCACCUGGACUCACAGCUCAUUUUGAGGCAUGGCACUGACUACUGAGUGCUCCUGAACAGCAUCUUUCAGAACAGAGCUCUCUCAGAUUUCAGGUAGGCAAUGUGCUGGACGGGUUGUCACACACAAACAUCUGACCGUACAGGGAAUUUGGAAUAGAAGCUGGGGUUAUACCUUCAGCCCCACUGUAGCGUUGGAGUGAAUGGACUCUUGGUAAUUUUUAGAGUGAAUA